AUUGAACGCUGGCGGCAGGCCUAACACAUGCAAGUCGAACGAGCGGCGGACGGGUGAGUAAUGUAUGGGGAACUGCCCGAUGGAGGGGGAUAACUACUGGAAACGGUGGCUAAUACCGCAUACUAUCGGAUGAACCCAUAUGGGAUUAGCUAGGUGGUGGGGUAAAGGCUCACCUAGGCGACAAUCUCUAGCUGGGCUGAGAGGAUGACCCGCCACACUGGAACUGAGACACGGCCCAGACUCCUACGGGAGGCAGCAGUGGGGAAUAUUGCACAAUGGGCGCAAGCCUGAUGCAGCCAUGCCGCGUGUAUGAAGAAGGCCUUAGGGUUGUAAAGUACUUUCAGCGGGGAGGCGUUACCCGCAGAAGAAGCACCGGCUAACUCCGUGCCAGCAGCCGCGGUAAUAC
This 406-nucleotide ribosomal RNA is filed under the name uncultured bacterium. Its description in RNAcentral is "partial 16S ribosomal RNA". It matches the Rfam family "Bacterial small subunit ribosomal RNA", at positions 30 to 526 of the family's 1533-position model. The record is from RNAcentral.